Molecule: long non-coding RNA, 723 nt
Filed under: Brassica napus (rape)
Lineage: Eukaryota; Viridiplantae; Streptophyta; Magnoliopsida; Brassicales; Brassicaceae
Description: long non-coding RNA (BNAP_LNC006179)
Source: RNAcentral
UAUCUACAAAAUCAAAAUAAAUCUAAGUGAAUCAUCUCCAAAUUUAUCUUGUUUAUUUAAGCGGUUGCGAUUAAGCAGACUGUCAUCUAUUUUACCUUCCGUCCAAACUGACCUGUUUCUGCUUUCGGCCCACUAUCAAACAAGGUAGUGUUAUAAUGUAACAAACGACAAUUAUACCAAUAAGUCAAAGGACAGAUAGUAUUUUCAAAACAAAAUGGUUUAAAACACUGACGAUAAUCCCAUUAAAGAAAAAAAAAAGCCAAAAGAGCAAAACAAUCACUCAAUCCUCCCCUUCGGUCUCCGACUCAGCGCUCUGUAGCCACACCACAAAAGGCUUAACAUUCUUCCAAACAGGCGAGGUCUUGUCAGCUCCGUUCAGACCCUUUUGGUACCAUUCCAACACAAACUCUUCCUCAACAAUGUCUUCAUCGUACAUUCUUCCAAACAGGCGAGGUUUUGUCAGCUCCGUUCAGACCCUUUUGGUACCAUUCCAACACAAACUCUUCCUCAACAAUGUCUUCAUCGUACAGUUCUUUAAGAACCAGAGCCACCUCCUUACCCACCUCAUCGUUUCCUUUCUUUCCAAAGAAUGAUCCGAUUGAGUUGAGCAGAUGCAUCUGUGAACCAUCCUCUUGCGUUGCAGCCGCUAAGUACUUCUUAUUCUUAGUCACUUCUUCAGUAAAUCCUUUGCUUACACCAUCAAAGAGAGCGUUCAAGAGUGCG